This 429-nucleotide ribosomal RNA is filed under the name Chloroflexota bacterium. RNAcentral describes it as "Chloroflexi bacterium partial 16S ribosomal RNA". It matches the Rfam family "Bacterial small subunit ribosomal RNA", at positions 355 to 776 of the family's 1533-position model. The record is from RNAcentral. Lineage: Bacteria; Bacillati; Chloroflexota.
UAGGGAAUCUUCGGCAAUGGACGAAAGUCUGACCGAGCAACGCCGCGUGAGUGAAGAAGGUUUUCGGAUCGUAAAACUCUGUUGUUAGAGAAGAACAAGGACGUUAGUAACUGAACGUCCCCUGACGGUAUCUAACCAGAAAGCCACGGCUAACUACGUGCCAUCAGCCGCGGUAAUACGUAGGUGGCAAGCGUUGUCCGGAUUUAUUGGGCGUAAAGCGAGCGCAGGCGGUUUCUUAAGUCUGAUGUGAAAGCCCCCGGCUCAACCGGGGAGGGUCAUUGGAAACUGGGAGACUUGAGUGCAGAAGAGGAGAGUGGAAUUCCAUGUGUAGCGGUGAAAUGCGUAGAUAUAUGGAGGAACACCAGUGGCGAAGGCGGCUCUCUGGUCUGUAACUGACGCUGAGGCUCGAAAGCGUGGGGAGCAAACAGG